AGGCUUUCCCCGCGGAGAAGACGACUCCGACAGGUGGGCCCCACCUGUCGGUGGCUCGGCGCGGUCGGAACCGGGCCGGUUCGGCCCUUUUGGCCGGGCCGGUCCGGUUUCUUCCCUUUUUUUUUCCUUUUAGCCUUUUCUUUUUUCCUUUUUCUCAUUUCUUUGAUAUCUUUUGAUUUUGGAAAAUCAUGUUUUGUCAUGAUUCAACUUUUGGGAGUAAUUUCCCCUAAAAAUAAAAUAUCUAAAAAUACAUUUGCCCUCUAAAUGCCUUUAGGGCUAUAUAACUAUUUAAAUAAAAUAGUUUUUCAACUCCAAAUAACUAUCCAAAAAUUAUGGGAUUGCUUAUUUAUGCAAUAAACCCCUUUUGUAAAUAAACCCUAUUGGUUUGAAGAUCCGAAGCUCAAAUGGGUGUAAACCCUAGGGUUUAAAUUGAAAUAAAAUCUUUUCAAAGCCUUUUGAGAUUCAAAUUUGAAUUCAAAUAUGUAAUUGUGGCAUGAUGCUUAUGGAUGCAAUGCACAUGUAAAAGUUUGAAAUUUUUGGGAUGUUACAGACCUAAGCCCCUUAAGAUGAAUCUCGUCCUCGAGAUUCGGCAUUGUUAGCAAAGAGGUGUGGGUGGUCUUCUCGAACAUCAUCUUCGUGCUCCCAAGUAGCUUCCUCUUCAGUGUGAUGGUCCCACUGAACUUUGCAAAACUUGAUGGUCUUGGAUCGGGUUUGUCUCUCAGUUGUAUCCAAGAUUCUGAUCGGUUUCUCCUCAUAGGUGAGGUCACUCUGUAUCUAGACUUCCUCAAGUGUGAUUGUAUCCCUCAGUGGUGUAUCAGCCAUCUCAGGAUGACACUUCUUCAGUUGUGACACAUGGAAGACAUUGUGGACAUUGGACAGUGCUUCCGGUAAGUCCAGUUUGUAGGCUACGUCCCCUUGGCAUGACAAGAUCUUGAAAGGUCCAAUGAAACGGGGUGCCAACUUUCCUUGAUUCCAAAUCUCUUAACUCCACGUAUCGGUGAAACUCGAUACGCUCUUCCUUCAAUCUCGUAGGUAACCUCCCUACGUUUGGAAUCCGCGUAGGGAAUCCGCGUAGCUCUUCUGCCUUGACUGAGCUACCUUCAAUAGGUCUCAGAUGAGCCUAACCUUUUCCUCGGCAUCCUUUAUCAAAUGUGGGCCGAAUAGGCUACGGUCUCCUACACCAUCCCAUAAAAAUGGUGUUCUGCACUUCCUUCCAUACAAAGCUUCAAACGGUGACAUUCCUAUGCUGGCUUGGAAGCUGUUGUUGUAUAAGAGUUCUGC
This 1281-nucleotide long non-coding RNA is filed under the name Brachypodium distachyon (stiff brome). RNAcentral describes it as "long non-coding RNA (BDIS_LNC005449)". The record is from RNAcentral. Lineage: Eukaryota; Viridiplantae; Streptophyta; Magnoliopsida; Poales; Poaceae.